AUUACUUCUAAUUCGAACUUUAUUGUUAAUCCGACAUAAUCUCGUAUUCACUACCACAAACUCAUAGUGUACGUACCAUGAAACAGUACGUAUCUGUUGUAACAUGACUUUGUGAUGAUAUGUAACUUUCUGUGUGAGUGAUUGGUUGAUUGACAUAAUUAAGGGAAAUCAUUGAGUUAGUUUUUAUCUAUUUUUUGAGGUUAAUUAGGGACACCAGAGUUCAUGGCUUCAGAAGUAUAUGCUGAGGAAUACAAUGAAUUGGUUGAUGGCUUAUUUCUAGUUAAUGACUAGAUAUAAGUUAUUUUUCUGCCUUUUUCUGCUGUUUCAAAGCCUUAGAAAUGACUGAUUUGUUUAAAUAGUUUUUCCAAGUACAAAACAUUUUUCAACAGAAUCCUUCAAUAAAAAUUUCUCAAGGUCUUCUACUAUGAAUCCUUCAAUAAAAAUUUCUAUAAGCAAAUUUCUUUCUAUUUAUCUAUUGUAAUGCCAACUGUCAGGUUUGACAACUCUGCCUCCAGCAUAGAGGCCAUGUGUGAUAGAAAAAAUAUAUGGAUUUUACAGUACUCACGUCUACAUCGCAAAUUAUAGAUGCGAAAUAAUAUUCUUUCCAUUUGAAGUUAAUUAUACUAGAUUAUGCUUCUACACAUUUAAUAUUCUUGGCUUUGUUGUUAAUGUGAUGCUUUAUGUUAUAGAAGAGUUGGUAACACUAUAUGAUAGUAUCUAUGACUGAAAUUGUCACCAUUUUUUAUCAGAUGAGAAUUCAGGAGAAAGACUGAAAUUUUCAGAAGUACAACUGACAGCGGUGUCUGAUUAGCAGUUAAAUAAUUGCCGGUGAAAAUCAAAUAAACAAUAUAAACGCAGCCUGGUCUGGAUUCCAUUGGAAUCGUUGCUAUUUCUCAUGGUUGCACUGGUGUGGCAGCACGUGCUUGCAGCCUGGUGGGUUUAGAGCCUACAAGGGUUGCAGAAAUCCUUAAGGAUCGGCCUUCGUGG
Camellia sinensis is the source of this 987-nucleotide non-coding RNA. The record is from RefSeq and is a predicted model, not a curated record. Lineage: Eukaryota; Viridiplantae; Streptophyta; Magnoliopsida; Ericales; Theaceae.